GAUGAACGCUAGCGGCAGGCUUAAUACAUGCAAGACGAACGGUAAGUGUUGUAGCAAUAUAGCACGAGAGUGUCGUACGGGUGCGUAACACGUAUGCAACCUACCUUGUACAGGAGGAUAGCUCGGGGAAACUCGAAUUAACCCUCCAUAAUAUAUUUGAAUGGCAUCAUUUGAAUAAUUAAAACCUUGGUGGUACAAGAUGGGCAUGCGUCUGAUUAGUUAGUGGUAGUGUAAUGGACUACCAAGACGAUGAUCAGUAGGGGACCUGAGAGGGUGAUCCCCCACACUGGCACUGAGAUACGGGCCAGACUCCUACGGGAGGCAGCAGUAGGGAAUAUUGGU
This 342-nucleotide ribosomal RNA is filed under the name uncultured bacterium. Its description in RNAcentral is "bacterial SSU rRNA". It matches the Rfam family "Bacterial small subunit ribosomal RNA", at positions 28 to 368 of the family's 1533-position model. The record is from RNAcentral.